CUACAGGGGUUUCUAAUCCUGUUCGCUCCCCACGCUUUCGUCCCUCAGCGUCAGUUGUAUCUUAGUGACCUGCCUUCGCAAUUGGUGUUCUAAGUAAUAUCUAUGCAUUUCACCGCUACACUACUUAUUCCAGCCACUUCAAAUACACUCAAGACUAACAGUAUCAACGGCAGUUCUACAGUUAAGCUGCAGGAUUUCACCGCUGACUUAUCAGCCCACCUACGGACCCUUUAAACCCAAUAAAUCCGGAUAACGCUUGCACCCUCCGUAUUACCGCGGCUGCUGGCAC
RNAcentral lists this ribosomal RNA (289 nucleotides) under uncultured Chryseobacterium sp. Its description in RNAcentral is "partial 16S ribosomal RNA". Lineage: Bacteria; Pseudomonadati; Bacteroidota; Flavobacteriia; Flavobacteriales; Weeksellaceae. The record is from RNAcentral.